GUAUUUUUCAUUUAAUGCAGCACAGUGUUCUGUAUUAUUUCUGGAUGCUAAGUUGGUGCUACAUUUCUGCCGGUGGUGACUACAUUUUGUUAAUGAAUAAAGCUGUAACUGAUACAUGAAAUCAUUUUAUUUUGACGUAUGUACUUUGGAAUCCUCCCCUAUCUUAAAAUAGAUACUGGAAAAGAAAAGAAAGAUGAUAGCAAUAUAGAUAGAGGAAAUUGAGAUAUCUAGGGGAUUCCUGUUAUUUAAAAAAUAGCCUUAUUUCGUUGUGGUGUUAUCCCCUAAAUUCUGCAAACUUUUGUUUCAGAAAAUAAAGAAAAUAAAUGGAUUCACUCAUUUAUAGGUGAUCCAUUUAGGGAGUCCUUGGGAAACAAUAGCACAGACCGAAACAAAAUGUAGUAGGAGAUAGAUCUGGCAUUUUAUUUUAUUUUAUUUUAUUUUAUUUGUCCUCUGAAUAAUGGCUGGUGACAACACAGAUGUUAAACACAAAAUAUUACAGGGAUUAAUUCAUAGCGCUCUAGUUUUCAUCCAAGGUCAUGUUCAGUGCAAACAAUAAGUUAUAGCCAGGCAGUCUGUAGUGGCAAUUAAGGACCACCUAGGGUGGGGGUGAAGCUGAAGGUGGCUCUGACUCUAGGAGGUCUACAGUCACUUCAGCAUACCUCCUUGGAAUGCCUUCUUGUUCAUAUAAAUUAAACAAAAGUGAAUUUUCUCCCCUUUAGGGAGCAAACAAUCCAUGCCUCAGAUCCUGCAGCCUAAGCAUUUCCUCCUUUAGAAUUGCAACUGAAUCUCCUCUAAACAGCAAUUAGCAUUUUAAUAGUAUUAAUAACAUACACGAUUCUAACAAUCUAAAGUGUUCUGCUUUUUAUUGAUGUCUUUUGUUGCAAUUUUGUCUAAUAGUGUGCCCAGGGUAGCAAAACAUAACCAAUUAAAACAUUUGCCAAACAGCAAGGAAUCUGGAUAGUUUCAACGCUGCUCAACUAAAAAUGAAAGUGGUUGUAUGAAAAUAACAGUUCCAGCCAACAAGACCAGGGAACAUACUGGCAAUCUUGUCAAUGUGAACUUAUCUAAUCAAAUGCCCUACAUUGCAUCAGAAAGAGGGAAAAAUCUGAACUGGAAAAGCUUCGUUUUCUUAAAGGUACCUAUUUCAUAUUAUAUUAUGGGAAUUUUAUCACAAAAUGUUUACAUUUAAUUCUCUGGGAAAGUUCCUUAAGAGUAGAUUUAGUCAUGAUUUAAUAUGCCAUAAAACAUUAUUAUUUCCUCAGAGAAGAGUAUUUUUAAACAGUAUAAGUUUACCACCAAGACUGAAAACCACUGACCCUUUAGUUAAAGGAUAAUAGGUAGUUUUAUGAUUACCAUGUUCAUGGAAG
This 1367-nucleotide long non-coding RNA is filed under the name Callithrix jacchus (white-tufted-ear marmoset). RNAcentral's name for it is "lncRNA (ENSCJAG00000081084.1)". The record is from RNAcentral. Lineage: Eukaryota; Metazoa; Chordata; Mammalia; Primates; Cebidae.